This 431-nucleotide ribosomal RNA is filed under the name uncultured bacterium. Its description in RNAcentral is "partial 16S ribosomal RNA". It matches the Rfam family "Bacterial small subunit ribosomal RNA", at positions 29 to 507 of the family's 1533-position model. The record is from RNAcentral.
AACGAACGCUGGCGGCAGGCUUAACACAUGCAAGUCGAGCGCCCCGCACGGGGUUCGGCGGACGGGUGAGUAACGCAUGGGGAGGUACCCUUAUCUUUGGGAUAGCCUCGGGAAACUGGAAUUAUUACCGAAUGUGCCCUUUUGCGGGAAGGGAUAUCGGGUAAGGUUCGGGGCGCGUGAGAUUUGCGAGUGGGUAGGGUGAAGUCGUGGCAAAGCGACGUUCCAUUGCUGGGCUGAGAGGAUGAUCAGUCACAAUGGGACUGAGACCCGGCCCCAACUCCUACGGGAGGGAGCAGUGGGGAACAUUGGACGAUGGGCGCAAGCCUGACCCAGCCAUGCCGCGUGAGUGAUGAAGGGCUUAGGGUUGUAAAGCUCUUUCACCCGAGAAGAUAAUGACGGUAACCGGAGAAGAAGCCCCGGCUAACUUCGUG